RNAcentral lists this ribosomal RNA (1650 nucleotides) under Triticum aestivum (bread wheat). Its description in RNAcentral is "partial small subunit ribosomal RNA". The record is from RNAcentral. Lineage: Eukaryota; Viridiplantae; Streptophyta; Magnoliopsida; Poales; Poaceae.
AUGGCUGCUGCGCAUGUAUGCUUCUCCUUAUCCUCGGCGCCGUUGCACCUUCCCGCUUUGCCGGUGGCCAGAAAUGGUGGCCGGAGUGGCCAAAACCGUGGCUUAUUUCGCCCUUCCACGGUGAUAUAUCCCGGGCGGGAGCCGGUGUUCCAUGAGCUGUCCGACGAUUUUGACUUCCAGAAAAGCCUAUCGAAUGUUCAAGCAUUGCUUCAUCAACAUCUGAAGAUCAGAAAAGGAAUGUUGAGCACGGUUGAUCACCUCAAGCGCCUCUGCAUUGACCACUAUUUCCACGAUGAAAUUGAUAACAUAAUGGACUCGUGUGUGAAUCUCAUCCAUAGUGAUGAUCUACUUGACGCAACCCUUUCCUUAAGGUUGAUGAGAGAAGCUGGAUAUUCUUUUUCGGCAGACGAUGUUCUUCGGAAGUUCACAAACAAUAAUGGUGAUUUCAAACUUAGGCAUAGCAAAGACCUUAGAGGGUUGCUGAGCUUGCAAGACAUGUCACACCUCAACAUGGGAGAAGCUUCACUCUACAAGGCAAAGGAAUUCUCAAGCAAGCACCUUAAAUUUGCAAUUAAGUAUUUGGAGCCAAACCUUGCGAGAUAUGUCAUGAAGUCACUGGACCAUCCCUACCAUGUGAGCUUGAUGCAAUACAAGGCUAGGCAUCAUCUGAGUUACCUCCAAAACUUGCCUACUAGGCACACUGCAAUUGAGACGCUAGCACUUGCAGAAUUUCAGAUCAAGAAGUUGCAGCAUCAAAGGGAAAUGCAAGAGGUUAAGAGAUGGUGGAUUGAUCUGGGACUGGCUCAAGAAAUACCAGCUGCAAGGUACCAAGUUCUGAAAUGGUACAUGUGGUCCAUGACUAUCCUCGACGGUUUAUCCUUCUCUAGAUAUCGGGUUGAGGCCACAAAGGUUAUAUCAAUGGUCUACAUUGUGGAUGACAUCUUUGAUCUUGUCGCCACACAAGAGGAGCUCUCUCUCUUUAAUGAGGCGAUCAAAAUGUGGGAUCUUGCAGCUGCUGAGUCACUACCGAGUUACAUGAUAUCAUGUUACAAGGCUCUUUACACCAUCACAAAUGAUAUUGCCGAUAUGGUCAGAAAAGAGCAUGGAUUUAACCCUAUCAAUCACCUCAAGAAAGCAUGGGUAUCUUUGUUUGAUGGAUUCAUGAUCGAGGGAAAAUGGCUAUCCACUAAUCAGAUCCCUACAUCAAAGGACUACCUAAGAAAUGGCAUCAUCACUUCAGGAGCACCACUUUUAUUUAUGCAUCUUUUAUUCAUGCUAGGGCAUGAUUUAACAGAGGACAACAAUGACCACAUACUUAGGGUCAUAUCCUGCCCUGCAAAGAUCAUGAGGCUCUGGGAUGACAUGAGGAGUGCAAAGGAUGAGUUGCAAGAAGGGCUCGACGGAUCAUACAAGGAUUUGUACCAGAGAGAAAACCCUCAUGCUGAUGCGGAGAAGCACAUGUUGGAUAUGAUCGCGGGUGAAUGGGAGGAUCUAAACAGGGAAUGCUUCUCUAACACAAUGUCCACACUACCACCUAGCUUCAUUGGGGCGUCUCUCAACUUCGCAAGGAUGGUCAGCAUCAUGUAUGGCUAUGACAAUGAGCAGAGGCUCCCCGUCCUGGAGGAUUACACUAGGAUGUUGCUCUUUUGA